UACGGGGGGGGCAAGCGUUGUUCGGAAUUACUGGGCGUAAAGGGCUCGUAGGCGGCCAACUAAGUCAGACGUGAAAUCCCUCGGCUUAACCGGGGAACUGCGUCUGAUACUGGAUGGCUAGAGGUUGGGAGAGGGAUGCGGAAUUCCAGGUGUAGCGGUGAAAUGCGUAGAUAUCUGGAGGAACACCGGUGGCGAAGGCGGUCUGCUGGGCAGUUUCUGACACUGAUGCGCGACAGCGUGGGGAGCAAACAGG
Molecule: ribosomal RNA, 253 nt
Filed under: uncultured bacterium
Lineage: Bacteria
Description: partial 16S ribosomal RNA
Rfam family: Bacterial small subunit ribosomal RNA
Source: RNAcentral